UGAAUACGAGACGCUAAGGCGUCGAAGUAGUGUAUGUCAUACUUCCAAGAAAAGCUUGCACUGUCAUAGAUAAAAAACGCCUGUACCAUAACCGACACAGGUGGGUAGGUAGAGUAUACUAAGGGGCGCGAGAUAACUCUCUCUAAGGAACUCGGCAAAAUAACUCCGUAACUUCGGGAGAAGGAGUGCCUUAUUCUUAAGGUUGCAAUAACAAGAUCCAAGCAACUGUUUAUCAAAAACACAGGUCUCCGCUAAGUCGUAAGACGAUGUAUGGGGGCUGACGCCUGCCCAGUGCCAGAAGGUUAAAGAAGCUGGUUAGCAAUUGCGAAGCUGGUGACUGAAGCCCUGGUGAACGGCGGCCGUAACUAUAACGGUCCUAAGGUAGCGAAAUUCCUUGUCGGGUAAGUUCCGACCCGCACGAAAGGCGUAAUGAUUUGGAUACUGUCUCGGAGAGGGGCUCGGUGAAAUAGACUUGUCUGUGAAGAUGCGGACUACCUGCACCAGGACAGAAAGACCCUAUGAAGCUUUACUGUAACUUGAAAUUGAAAUUGGACUUUAUUCGCGCAGCAUAGGUGGGAGGCGUUGAUUAUAAUCUUGCGGGAUUAUUGGAGCCAUUAGUGAGAUACCACUCUUGUAAUGUUAGAUUUCUAACUUUGAAUCAUUAUCUGGUCAAAGGACAGUUUCAGGCGGGCAGUUUGACUGGGGCGGUCGCCUCCCAAACGGUAACGGAGGCGUACAAAGGUUUCCUCUGAACGGUUAGAAAUCGUAUCUAGAGUGUAAAGGCAUAAGGAAGCUUGACUGUGAGACCUACAAGUCGAGCAGGGACGAAAGUCGGUCUUAGUGAUCUGACGGUACUGAGUGGAAAGGCCGUCACUCAACGGAUAAAAGUUACUCUAGGAUAACAGGCUGAUCUCCCCCAAGAGUUCACAUCGACGGGGAGGUUUGGCACCUCGAUGUCGGCUCAUCGCAUCCUGGGGCGGUAGUACGUCCCAAGGGUUGGGCUGUUCGCCCAUGAAAGCGGUACGCGAGCUGGGUUCAGAACGUCGUGAGACAGUUCGGUCCAUAUCCGGUGUAGGCGUUAGAAUAUUGAGAGGAGCCUUCUUUAGUACGAGAGGACCGAGAAGGACAUACCUCUGGUGUACCAGUUAUCGUGCCAACGGUAAACGCUGGGUAGCUAUGUAUGGAGUGGAUAACCGCUGAAAGCAUCUAAGUGGGAAGCCCACCUCAAGAUAAGUAUUCCC
This 1241-nucleotide ribosomal RNA is filed under the name metagenome. RNAcentral describes it as "bacterial LSU rRNA". It matches the Rfam family "Bacterial large subunit ribosomal RNA", at positions 1564 to 2815 of the family's 2925-position model. The record is from RNAcentral.